GCUGACACAUCCCAGCCAAUCUCCAGCAGACCCUCCCUCCCAGACCCUCCCACCUCCUGGACAGCAUCCAUGUUGAGUUUCAACAUGGAUGCUGUCCAGGAGGUGGGAGGGUCUGGGAGGGAGGGUCUGCUGGAGAUUGGCCGGGAUGUGUCAG
Pelobates cultripes (western spadefoot toad) is the source of this 154-nucleotide non-coding RNA. The record is from the annotation of a GenBank genome assembly. NCBI's taxonomy places the organism in Eukaryota, Metazoa, Chordata, Amphibia, Anura, Pelobatidae.